This 253-nucleotide ribosomal RNA is filed under the name uncultured bacterium. Its description in RNAcentral is "partial 16S ribosomal RNA". It matches the Rfam family "Bacterial small subunit ribosomal RNA", at positions 524 to 776 of the family's 1533-position model. The record is from RNAcentral.
GACGAACCGUGCGAACGUUGUUCGGAAUCACUGGGCUUAAAGGGCGCGUAGGCGGGGUGGACAGUCUGUGGUGAAAUCCUCCGGCUCAACCGGAGAACUGCCGUGGAUACUGCCACUCUCGAGGGGUGUAGGGGCAUGCGGAACUUCGGGUGGAGCGGUGAAAUGCGUAGAUAUCCGAAGGAACGCCGGUGGCGAAAGCGGCGUGCUGGACACCUUCUGACGCUGAGGCGCGAAAGCCAGGGGAGCAAACGGG